AUGAAGCAGCAAGCAGAUAAGAAGCGGUCAGUCCGAACCUUCUCUGUGGGUGAUCAUGUCUACCUGAAGUUGCAGCCUUAUGUUCAAACAUCAGUGGUUGCACGCGCCUGUCACAAACUGGCUUUCCAAUUCUUCGAACCCUACAAAAUCAUCAACUGCAUCAACCCUGUGGCAUAUAAACUUCAGCUGCCGGAGCGCUCACAAGUGCACCCUGUGUUCCACAUUUCCCAAUUGCGCAAGGCUCUCCUCCUAGGUACAUCAGCAUCUCAAGAUCUACCUGUGCACUCUACCAUUCCUGCCGUGCCUGCAGCGAUUAUUGAUCAGCGUUGGCGCAAGCGUCGUGGUGCCAUGGUGGAGCAAGUCCUCAUACGCUGGUCCAACCCAGCAGCCGUCGCUGACUCAUGGGAGGAUCGUGUGGCGCUCCAAGCUCGCUUCCCAUCUGCAGAGGCUUGGGGUCAAGCCUCAGCUCAAGAAAGGGGGGAUGUCAGCGCCCCUGGCAACGGGACCCCUCCUGUCAGCUCGCCCGCGCCUCCAAGGCUGACACGUCCUCGCAAGCCCUGCCCAAGAGUCAGUGGGCCUAAGUGGGUGUGA
This 591-nucleotide ribosomal RNA is filed under the name Triticum aestivum (bread wheat). Its description in RNAcentral is "partial small subunit ribosomal RNA". Lineage: Eukaryota; Viridiplantae; Streptophyta; Magnoliopsida; Poales; Poaceae. The record is from RNAcentral.